RNAcentral lists this ribosomal RNA (441 nucleotides) under uncultured bacterium. RNAcentral's name for it is "partial 16S ribosomal RNA". It matches the Rfam family "Bacterial small subunit ribosomal RNA", at positions 338 to 795 of the family's 1533-position model. The record is from RNAcentral.
CCUACGGGAGGCAGCAGUGGGGGAUAUUGCACAAUGGGGGGAACCCUGAUGCAGCGACGCCGCGUGGGUGAAGGAGUGCUUCGGCAUGUAAAGCCCUAUCGGCAGGGAAGAAGCAAGACGGUACCUGACUAAGAAGCCCCGGCUAACUACGUGCCAGCAGCCGCGGUAAUACGUAGGGGGCGAGCGUUAUCCGGAUUCACUGGGUGUAAAGGGAGCGUAGACGGCAAAGCAAGCUAGUGGUGAAAGCCCAGGGCCCAACCCCAGAACUGCCCUUGAAACUGCAUGGCUGGAGUGGGGGAGGGGCAGGUGGAAUUCCUGGUGUAGGGGUGAAAUGCGUAGAUAUCAGGAGGAACACUGGCGGCGAAGGCGGCCUGCUGGACCGCGACUGACGUUGAGGCGCGAAAGCGUGGGGAGCGAACAGGAUUAGAUACCCGUGUAGUC